GAUGAACGCUGGCGGCGUGCCUAAUACAUGCAAGUCGAGCGAACAGACGAGGAGCUUGCUCCUCUGACGUUAGCGGCGGACGGGUGAGUAACACGUGGAUAACCUACCUAUAAGACUGGGAUAACUUCGGGAAACCGGAGCUAAUACCGGAUAAUAUAUUGAACCGCAUGGUUCAAUAGUGAAAGACGGUUUUGCUGUCACUUAUAGAUGGAUCCGCGCCGCAUUAGCUAGUUGGUAAGGUAACGGCUUACCAAGGCGACGAUGCGUAGCCGACCUGAGAGGGUGAUCGGCAACACUGGAAGUGAGACAGGGUCCAGACUCCUACGGGAGGCAGCAGUAGGGAAUCUUCCGCAAGGGGCGAAAGCCUGACGGAGCAACGCCGCGUGAGUGAUGAAGGUCUUCGGAUCGUAAAGCUCUGUUAUUAGGGAAGAACAAAUGUGUAAGUAACUAUGCACGUCUUGACGGUACCUAAUCAGAAAGCCACGGCUAACUACGUG
RNAcentral lists this ribosomal RNA (497 nucleotides) under uncultured bacterium. RNAcentral's name for it is "partial 16S ribosomal RNA". It matches the Rfam family "Bacterial small subunit ribosomal RNA", at positions 28 to 507 of the family's 1533-position model. The record is from RNAcentral.